GUGAGUGUAGCUCAAUUGGUUAGAGUACCGGAUUGUGGUUCCGGUGGUUGCGGGUUCAAUUCCCGUCACUCACC
Molecule: transfer RNA, 74 nt
Organism: Cloacibacillus evryensis DSM 19522
Lineage: Bacteria; Thermotogati; Synergistota; Synergistia; Synergistales; Synergistaceae
Rfam family: tRNA
About the family: Transfer RNA (tRNA) molecules are approximately 80 nucleotides in length. Their secondary structure includes four short double-helical elements and three loops (D, anti-codon, and T loops).
Source: Rfam